UACGUAGGUGGCAAGCGUUAUCCGGAUUUAUUGGGUGUAAAGGGCGUGUAGGCGGGAGCGCAAGUCAGAUGUGAAAACUCAGGGCUCAACCCUGAGCCUGCAUUUGAAACUGUAUGACUAGAUUGCAGGAGAGGUAAGUGGAAUUCCUAGUGUAGCGGUGAAAUGCGUAGAUAUUAGGAGGAACACCAGUGGCGAAGGCGGCUUACUGGACCGUAAAUGACGCUGAGGCUCGAAAGCGUGGGGAGCAAACAGG
This 253-nucleotide ribosomal RNA is filed under the name uncultured bacterium. RNAcentral's name for it is "partial 16S ribosomal RNA". It matches the Rfam family "Bacterial small subunit ribosomal RNA", at positions 524 to 776 of the family's 1533-position model. The record is from RNAcentral.